Molecule: ribosomal RNA, 620 nt
Filed under: Trichoderma citrinoviride
Lineage: Eukaryota; Fungi; Ascomycota; Sordariomycetes; Hypocreales; Hypocreaceae
Description: eukaryotic LSU rRNA
Rfam family: 5.8S ribosomal RNA (bases 233-386)
Source: RNAcentral
UCCGUAGGUGAACCUGCGGAGGGAUCAUUACCGAGUUUACAACUCCCAAACCCAAUGUGAACGUUACCAAACUGUUGCCUCGGCGGGAUCUCUGCCCCGGGUGCGUCGCAGCCCCGGACCAAGGCGCCCGCCGGAGGACCAACCUAAAACUCUUAUUGUAUACCCCCUCGCGGGUUUUUUUAUAAUCUGAGCCUUCUCGGCGCCUCUCGUAGGCGUUUCGAAAAUGAAUCAAAACUUUCAACAACGGAUCUCUUGGUUCUGGCAUCGAUGAAGAACGCAGCGAAAUGCGAUAAGUAAUGUGAAUUGCAGAAUUCAGUGAAUCAUCGAAUCUUUGAACGCACAUUGCGCCCGCCAGUAUUCUGGCGGGCAUGCCUGUCCGAGCGUCAUUUCAACCCUCGAACCCCUCCGGGGGGUCGGCGUUGGGGAUCGGCCCUCCCUUAGCGGGUGGCCGUCUCCGAAAUACAGUGGCGGUCUCGCCGCAGCCUCUCCUGCGCAGUAGUUUGCACACUCGCAUCGGGAGCGCGGCGCGUCCACAGCCGUUAAACACCCAACUUCUGAAAUGUUGACCUCGGAUCAGGUAGGAAUACCCGCUGAACUUAAGCAUAUCAAUAAGCGGAGGA